CUGCAUUCUAAACCCUCCUGGCAGCUCUGCCCUUGGCUGCCAGGGUAAGGAUGAAUGCCAGAGAAAACUGUUGAUUAAUCCAAAGCGCAGAGCUCUUUCCCCUGUGGCUCUUCGUUAUUUCACGUCUUCAACAUUGAUUU
RNAcentral lists this small nucleolar RNA (140 nucleotides) under Acanthisitta chloris (rifleman). RNAcentral describes it as "Small nucleolar RNA SNORA14". It matches the Rfam family "Small nucleolar RNA SNORA14". Rfam says of the family: ACA14 is a member of the H/ACA class of snoRNA that guide the sites of modification of uridines to pseudouridines. Lineage: Eukaryota; Metazoa; Chordata; Aves; Passeriformes; Acanthisittidae. The record is from Rfam by way of RNAcentral.